Molecule: long non-coding RNA, 1354 nt
Filed under: Mustela putorius furo (domestic ferret)
Lineage: Eukaryota; Metazoa; Chordata; Mammalia; Carnivora; Mustelidae
Description: lncRNA (ENSMPUG00000025013.1)
Source: RNAcentral
GGUCAGGCCUGGCCACACACAGGUGACCAAUGAGAUUGUAACACACACAGGAAACUCCACAGUGAUGCUAGGUGACCAACUGAGUUACAAUUUACCCUAGUAGACAUUUGACCCAGCCUAUUACACCUUGAUUAGGAUUGGCGCCAAAAAGUGUUCCCAAAGGUGGGGUCCAUACUCCUUGGUAACCAGGGAGACAGUAUGCAUCCCCCCGCACUGAUCUGAUGUCUCCCCCUGGCCUAACCCACCCUUGUAUCUGGGCUUUUGUUACCUGGAGCUGGUUUCCGGAACUUGUCUCCAACUAAAUCCCCUGGGGGAAGGGGAGCAGGGACAGUUUCUAAAUAGGUCCUUACAGCUUGCAUAUACCAUUAUAAGGCACCUAUUAGACAUCAAGAGGUGGUGUCAGGUAGGCAGCUGCCUAUGUGACUGUGGUUCAGGCCGAGGCCUGAGCUGGAAAUAGACACCUAAAAAGCACAUAGAUGCUUUUUAAAGCAAUAGACUAAUGAUGGUCAUGAAGGGGUGUGAGGAGACACAAGGACUGUGGGCAGAGAUCUAAGUCUCUUCGAGCAAAGAGGGUGGACAGAAAGGAAAGGUCAAGUGUGAUAGAAACUGGAGGGCAGGUGAGCAAAGAGUAGCAUGGAAGGCAGGGAGGGACCAAGUGCCAGAGUCACAGGGAGCCCGUGGGUCAGUUUGGAGGAAAUGUGAGCCCUGGCUGACAUUACUAGGGACCUCUCUGUGUUGCAGUGUGGCCUGAGGGACCAGAGCCUGACUGCAGAGCAUGUGGGAGAGAAUGGGAGCAGGAGAGUGGAGACUGACUGUGAACAACUCUUGUGAGGAGUUUCUGCUGCAAAGAGGGGAAAGAAAUGGGAGAGAGCACUCAGCAAGAAAAGGAAAAUGAAACAAUCUCUGGGUCACAGGAAAUAACACAAGUUUUAGAAAAUCCCUGCGGUAUGAGAGAAAAAACUUCAAGUAGAUCUUUUCUGAGUCCCAUAGAUGACGCAAAGGACAACAGAUGUUCAAAGACUCAGGGACUUCAACAAGAAGUAAUUGGUUUGUACUGGCAAGAGGGACAACUCCAACUGAGGUGCAGAAAAAUAGGACAGCAGAGUUACACACACAACACUACAAUCAAUACUGUCUGCACACAACUAGCUCUGGGCUUCAUUUUGGAAAAAGAGCAACUGCAAGAAGAGUAAUGAGGGCAAGAAAUGCAGAAAAAAGAAGAGAUGGUGGGAGGAUUGGGGAAAGAAGAGAAGGGAUGGGACUAUUUUAUUUUAGGUUCUUGGCAGAUUUUACUAAAACUGAGUAAAAAUACAGACAUAUCAAUAAUUGAUGGGACAAUUUCAGAAAAAUCAAG